ACCGGGGUCCGGUGCGGAGAGCCUUUUGACCUGGGAAA
RNAcentral lists this non-coding RNA (38 nucleotides) under Sus scrofa (pig). The record is from RNAcentral. Lineage: Eukaryota; Metazoa; Chordata; Mammalia; Artiodactyla; Suidae.